GCAUCAGGCCGUAUGAUCGAUACUUCCCUUCGAAUGCUAUGGAUCAGAAAAUGCACCUUCCCAACACACUGACU
Molecule: small RNA, 74 nt
Filed under: Arabidopsis thaliana (thale cress)
Lineage: Eukaryota; Viridiplantae; Streptophyta; Magnoliopsida; Brassicales; Brassicaceae
Description: ATSL179150
Source: RNAcentral